GAUCGCCAGUGAUCAUUAUCAUCAAAAUUCAAAUCUUGUUAAUUAGUAGUUCUUAUGUAGUAGUUCAAUUUUCCAAAUACUUUUUUUGCUUUGAAACUUCUUAAUUUAUAUUUUGUAUUCGCGAUUAUUUCCAGAGUCUAAAUUAUUCAUGGCAGUCAACAAUUUCUACGAUUCAUUAAAUCUGCAAACUGUGGAAGGCACUGAAACUUUUAUAAAAUUGGAAAAAAAGUUGCGUGAUAAUCAUUGGUAUAAGCCUAUGUUGGACCAAGCAGAAGUCUCUCUAAAUGUGAACCGAGUCUAUCUUGUUUUGGGAGCAUCAUCAGUGUUCUUGGUUGGAUUAUUGCUUCAACACGGUGUUUCAUUAAUCAUGAGUGGAUUUGGCUUCAUCUAUCCUCUUUAUCAAACAUUUCAUUGCUUAGAACUGAAUAUCUCAUUGUUUGAGGGACUGUUAAGUCACCAACAAGUUUAAGGGUACAUCAGAGUAUGAAAGCUCUCUCUAGGACCGAAAUAAUAAGUGGUGUCACCAUUGUGAUAUGAGGGAAAAAAUUGGAGCAUCAAAACAGAUUUGUAGCCUUAGAAAAACCAAAUCCUUUAGUUGAGAAGAAGUGGUUGAUAUACUGGCUCAUUCAUGCUGCUUUGAAUUUUGCUGAAACAUUCAUUUUCUUCCUUCACUGGCUUCCAGGAUAUUGGAUAUUCAAGUGUGGCUUCUUGUAUUGGUGUUAUGCACCUCAGGAGAGAAAUGGCUCUGACAUUGUCUACGACUAUGCAAUUCGACCCUUCUUCCGUACAACAAACGAGGAACACCAGAAGACUGCGCCACAUUCCAUUUACACAGACAGCCUGGAAGCACUGUCCAGUUCUUGAGUAUCCUCAUCAUAUCAUUGCCAAAGAAUGUUCAUCUAAAGAAGGCUUCAGAAUUGUAUUUUACACUUGAAUUGUGUGUCGUUUUCUCAAAAUGUGUUCGUGAAUUGAAAUAAAAUAAUGAUUUUGUGAAGAA
Non-coding RNA from Parasteatoda tepidariorum (common house spider), 997 nucleotides. The record is from RefSeq and is a predicted model, not a curated record. NCBI's taxonomy places the organism in Eukaryota, Metazoa, Arthropoda, Arachnida, Araneae, Theridiidae.